Molecule: ribosomal RNA, 219 nt
Filed under: uncultured bacterium
Lineage: Bacteria
Description: partial 16S ribosomal RNA
Rfam family: Bacterial small subunit ribosomal RNA
Source: RNAcentral
CACGUAGGGUGCGAGCGUUGUCCGGAAUUAUUGGGCGUAAAGAGCUCGUAGGCGGUGUGUCGCGUCGGCCCGUGAAAACCUGCAGCUUAACUGUGGGCUUGCGGUCGAUACGGGCAUCACUGGAGUUCGGCAGGGGAGACUGGAAUUCCUGGUGUAGCGGUGAAAUGCGCAGAUAUCAGGAGGAACACCCGUGGCGAAGGCGGGUCUCUGGGCCAUAAC